This 404-nucleotide ribosomal RNA is filed under the name uncultured bacterium. Its description in RNAcentral is "bacterial SSU rRNA". It matches the Rfam family "Bacterial small subunit ribosomal RNA", at positions 355 to 776 of the family's 1533-position model. The record is from RNAcentral.
UGGGGAAUAUUGGACAAUGGGCGCAAGCCUGAUCCAGCCAUGCCGCGUGAGUGAUGAAGGCCUUAGGGUUGUAAAGCUCUUUUGUCCGGGAGGAUAAUGACCGUACCGGAAGAAUAAGCUCCGGCUAACUUCGUGCCAGCAGCCGCGGUAAUACGAAGGGAGCUAGCGUUGUUCGGAAUUACUGGGCGUAAAGCGCAUGCAGGCGGAUCGUUAAGUCGAGGGUGAAAUCCCAGGGCUCAACCCUGGAACUGCCUUCGAUACUGGCGACCUUGAGUCCGGGAGAGGUGAGUGGAACUCCGAGUGUAGAGGUGAAAUUCGUAGAUAUUCGGAAGAACACCAGUGGCGAAGGCGGCUCACUGGCCCGGUACUGACGCUGAGAUGCGAAAGCGUGGGGAGCAAACAGG